RNAcentral lists this long non-coding RNA (2785 nucleotides) under Triticum aestivum (bread wheat). Its description in RNAcentral is "long non-coding RNA (TAES_LNC018665)". The record is from RNAcentral. Lineage: Eukaryota; Viridiplantae; Streptophyta; Magnoliopsida; Poales; Poaceae.
CAGGUUUCCCAAAGAUACACUACUUGAUGGAGAUUUGGAUGAUCUACAAGCUGCUGAAGGUUUGCAAGAUCUACUAUUAAGUUGGUGGAGUGAUAAUGUAAUGCGCCUUGUUUGGUGAACCUGGAGACAUUGGCAAGUUCUGCUCAUUUUGGUGGUUGUUUUGGCACAUAGGCCACUAUAUGGCCAUUUUGGUUGCGUGACACAUUUAGAAACAUAUAUACUUCUCCCUUUGUGGAACUACUUCAUUUUGGUUGUGUGGCACGUGUAUCUAGAAACAUUUAUGUACUCUUUUUGUGGCACAAUCUGCUUAUAUACAUUCUUAUGUUAAUGGAAUGAAGUUUAAGGUUUCCGAUGAGACCUAUAUGUUACUUUGAAAUGUAUGUAUAAAUUGUGCGAGGUGCCAUGAUUGCUUAACAUAAUGAAUGGAAAUUAUAUCAGGAAUGCAUACAAUAGUUUGCUAGUGAAAUUGAAGUGCUGGCAUCAUAACUGCCGGGAAAACAUGCAUGUGCAGGCAGCUAAACUGCCGGCAAUUGUAGUUUCAUGUGUCCUGACCAAUCUGUCGAGAGAAAACAACUGCCGCCAAAUCUAAGGGCCAGGGCAGGGAAACUGCCGGGAGAAGUGUAUCUGCCGGGACAAGUAAUCCCCGGCAGCCGUUCUCGUGGCGGUUCUAUCUGCCGGGAGAAUCGCUAUCCCGGCAGAUUGUCUGCCCUUAUAAGUAUGUUCUCCCGGCAGUUUUUCUGUCCUUAUAUCAGUGUUGUGGUGUAGUGGGAGUAGGGAUGACCUACCCUCGGGCGGGCAGCCUGUGUGAAAUAUCAGCGGUCAGGUAUCUGGUCUCCCUCAACUUUUUGAUGUCCUCCUCCGUGACAGAGGAAGGCAUCCACCGGCCCUAGGGGCUGGAUCCGGACAUGAUUGGAGAUCUGAAGCACCUGACCUGGGCUUUGGGUGUUAGAACUCGAGGCGGGGGAAGGAUUCAAUUGAGCACGGGAGGGAAAAAGUAAAAGCCUUGUCCCUUUAUAAAGAGGGUGAAUAUCAAGCGUCCUCCUCGUAGCCGUUUGGGACUUGCCUAAAUUCUAGGAGUCCUAGGCGCGGUUGGGUUACCCAUGACUGUAUUGAUGUGAAUCCCGAAAUAAGGGGGACACGAUCUCUGCUUUGACAAGACGUGUCAAGAAACUGCCUCGCGUUAUGAGCGGGGCUAGUUAAAUAAAAACGGUUCAAAUAAUCGCCGAGCCAUGGCAUCAUGUCAUGUUGCCAAAACAUGUCAGCAGAUUAGAUUUGUGGAAAUAUUAUUCUCUCUAUGGUGGUACAUGGGUAAAACAUCGUGUCCCCUGCCUCCUGUUACCAUCCGCCUUAGACGCAUAGUUCGGGACCCCCUACCCGAGAUCCAUCGGUUUUGACACCGACAAUGGGUUUGAACCCGUCUGGGAAUUCAUGCUCCAUUACUUCAUUUGUGAAGCAAAGAGGGUGUGUGGCGCUUCUAUGUUCGGCCACACUGCGGCGUACCUCUAACGGAGUCCAUUUGCGGUUUUCAGCCGGGCGUGGCUAGGUUUGUCACGUCCGAAUAGGUGGCCGUCGUCGCGUGUCGAGGUGUGUCCUUGCGAUCCGUAGAUCGCUCUUGGGUGUCCUAUUUUACUACCCCAGCCUUGCUGAAGGUUGUAUGUACAACCUUGAGCGGUUUUGUUCCUGCCUUUACGGUGAGGUGGGGCGGUCUGUUGUUCGGCUUGAGUUGCCGCUUGAACCAGACCAAGUUGUGGUUGGCCUACCGCAUUGUGCGAUGAUCGUACGGGCUCGAGCGCCUUAUCGUCGCCCUGGGUUGCGAUCUAUGCUUCGGGUAGAUUUUAGCUGGGCCACCAAGGCCGUAUUGUUUGGCGGCUAGGACUUCGAUCAAUCUAUCAUUAAGCAGAUCUUCGUCAGCUUGAAGCUAUUGUUGCUUCUUCUUCAGGCUCCUUGAAGUGGCUAUUAGUUGGCGCUUUAAGCACUCCUGCUCACGAGGUUCCUCAGGCACCAUGAAAUCCUCGGCGCCGAGGCUCACCUCAUCCUCAGAGAGCGGAAGGUAAUUGUCNNNNNNNNNNCUUUUUACUGUUUUGUUACUAUAACUGGAAUGGAAUGGGCUGUGUACGUUAGCCUGAUUCAAAUCCUUUUCAUCUCCAAUGAACGAUCUGUGUACAACAUCAGCCUUCAUUCAAACUCCAUUUACUGAAUAAUUUCACAGCGUGUUCUGCUACAGCCAACGCCCAACAGCAAGGCAAACAAAGAAGGCAUUAAAACACUUGUCCUUAUGUGAUGUAAAAAUUGCAUUUUAUUGUGCUUCCAGUACUAGUUGCAUGUUCACGUAUGUUACAACAGGUUUAUUAAGCUAUGAGAGCUCCAUUUUGAGUUUCCGUUCUGUUGCAGGUUUCCCAAAGAUACACUACUUGAUGGAGAUUUGGAUGAUCUACAAGCUGCUGAAGGUUUGCAAGAUCUACUAUUAAGUUGGUGGAGUGAUAAUGUAAUGCGCCUUGUUUGGUGAACCUGGAGACAUUGGCAAGUUCUGCUCAUUUUGGUGGUUGUUUUGGCACAUAGGCCACUAUAUGGCCAUUUUGGUUGCGUGACACAUUUAGAAACAUAUAUACUUCUCCCUUUGUGGAACUACUUCAUUUUGGUUGUGUGGCACGUGUAUCUAGAAACAUUUAUGUACUCUUUUUGUGGCACAAUCUGCUUAUAUACAUUCUUAUGUUAAUGGAAUGAAGUUUAAGGUUUCCGAUGAGACCUAUAUGUUACUUUGAAAUGUAUGUAUAAAUUGUGCGAG